Molecule: ribosomal RNA, 250 nt
Filed under: uncultured bacterium
Lineage: Bacteria
Description: partial 16S ribosomal RNA
Rfam family: Bacterial small subunit ribosomal RNA
Source: RNAcentral
UACGGAGAGUGCGAGCGUUGUUCGGAAUCACUGGGCGUAAAGGGCGUCUAGGCGGCUUGCCAAGUCAGAUGUGAAAUCCCUCGGCUCAACCGAGGACGUGCAUCUGAAACUGGUGAGCUUGAGUAUUGGAGGGGGCAGUGGAAUUCCCGGUGUAGAGGUGAAAUUCGUAGAUAUCGGGAGGAACACCAGUGGCGAAGGCGGCUGCCUGGCCAAAUACUGACGCUGAAGCGCGAAAGCGUGGGGAGCAAAC